GACGAACGCUGGCGGCGUGCCUAAUACAUGCAAGUUGAGCGAUGAAGCUUGGUGCUUGCACCAAUUUGAAGAGCAGCGAACGGGUGAGUAACGCGUGGGGAAUCUGCCUUUGAGCGGGGGACAACAUUUGGAAACGAAUGCUAAUACCGCAUAACAACUUUAAACAUAAGUUUUAAGUUUGAAAGAUGCAAUUGCAUCACUCAAAGAUGAUCCCGCGUUGUAUUAGCUAGUUGGUGAGGUAAAGGCUCACCCAGGCGAUGAUACAUAGCCGACCUGAGAGGGUGAUCGGCCACAUUGGGAGUGAGACACGGCCCAAACUCCUACGGGAGGCAGCAGUAGGGAAUCUUCGGCAAUGGACGAAAGUCUGACCGAGCAACGCCGCGGGAGUGAAGAAGGUUGUCGGAUCGUAAAACUCGGUUGGUAGAGAAGAACGUUGGUGAGAGUGGAAAGCUCAUCAAGUGACGGUAACUACCCAGAAAGGGACGGCUAACUACGUG
This 497-nucleotide ribosomal RNA is filed under the name uncultured bacterium. Its description in RNAcentral is "partial 16S ribosomal RNA". It matches the Rfam family "Bacterial small subunit ribosomal RNA", at positions 28 to 507 of the family's 1533-position model. The record is from RNAcentral.